This 71-nucleotide transfer RNA is filed under the name bacterium. Its description in RNAcentral is "tRNA-Gly". It matches the Rfam family "tRNA". Rfam says of the family: Transfer RNA (tRNA) molecules are approximately 80 nucleotides in length. Their secondary structure includes four short double-helical elements and three loops (D, anti-codon, and T loops). The record is from RNAcentral.
GCGGGAUUAGUUUAACGGUAGAACAAAUGGUUUCCAACCAUUUAGCAGGAGUUCGACUCUCCUAUCCCGCA